CCGAUUCAAAACCAGAUUCUCUAUAACUUUCGAAAAAUGAAAAGAAGCCUUUUAAAUGGUCUAUAUCAACAUCAAUAUACAUGUCUUCUGCUUGCAAAUGUUUACUUAAUUUGUUAACAUUAUUCAACACUUCAUACCAAAUAAUCAUUCCAAGUAAGAAUUCAAAAUUGUCAAUUUCAUAUGUUGCUAAACAUUCCGCCUCACUUUUUGUCUUAGGAUCAUCAACGUUUGCUAAUUAAAGUAAGGUUUUUUUUAUUUGCGGAGCUUGAAAUCUUAUCGUUUUAACACUUUCAAUAUGACUUUCUCAACGAGUUUAUGACAAGGGCUUAAGGGUAAGACCAGUUACAUUCUCUUUGAAAAAUUUCCACCGUUUAGUAGAUUAAGAAAAUAAAAUGUAUAUACGUUGCACCACCCCAAAGAAAAGAUUUAGCUUUUGAACAACAAGUGGUUAUAUCAUAAAGUGCAAGAUUAAGACUAUGACAUCCAUUUGGACUGUAGAACGCUCUAGGAUUUAGUUGUAAUAGUCUACUUUGAACUCAUUAAUGUUGUCUUUCAUGUUAACACCAUUAUCAUAGUCUUGACCCCUUACAUUAUCAAUAUCAAGUUCUAGAUUAUUCAAAGCAUCCACCAGUUCAUCAAAAAGUUCAUCAAAAAGUCCCUUACCUGAUGUAUCAUCUACCAAUAAAAAUCAUAAAAAAAAUUUUUUCAACAUUCACCGGACUUGCCGAAAUAUCUACACACCUCAAUACUAUAGACAUUUGUUCUUCUUGACUUGUAUCUGUAGUGCAAUCAAGUAUAACAGAAAAGUAUUUAGAAUUUUUCUGAAUUUUGCGUCCUAGAUAAUGAUAAUGAUAAUGAAUCUCUUUUUUUUUUCGACGAACAUGCUCUUGCAUUACGAGAUCAAACUCAACAAUCAUUAUUAAGAAGAUACCAUUAUUUUCUUAAUAUACCUUCUCAUUAUCCUCACAAAAUGCUAAAUUAUUUUCAACAAGAGUUUUCACCACAAAUAUUAUUCUCAGUAACACUUGUCUCCAAUGUUCUUUAUCUCUAUUGAUUUGUUCUUGCACACUUUUAUCAAUUGUUUACUCUUUUUGAAUCUUAAUUCUAUUUCUAUCCAUUUACUCAUGUUAUUAAUGUGGUCGCAACUUACUUCAUGCAUUUUAAAUUUUUCACCAAUAUUUUUUCAAUCAUUUACUUCAUCAUGUGCCAAUUGAGUUCUGAUCACAUCAUUUUUCAACAGCUUACAACAAAACAAAAUACUUUAUCCAAACUUCUUGAAUAUAUCAACCAUUUUCUAUCAUG
RNAcentral lists this long non-coding RNA (1302 nucleotides) under Olea europaea (common olive). RNAcentral's name for it is "long non-coding RNA (OEUR_LNC009277)". Lineage: Eukaryota; Viridiplantae; Streptophyta; Magnoliopsida; Lamiales; Oleaceae. The record is from RNAcentral.